Long non-coding RNA from Mus musculus (house mouse), 1102 nucleotides. RefSeq annotates it as predicted gene, 40618. The record is from RefSeq and is a predicted model, not a curated record. The transcript has 2 exons. Lineage: Eukaryota; Metazoa; Chordata; Mammalia; Rodentia; Muridae.
CCACCUGAAAAGACAUAAGAAGAUUUACUUUUGUUUCUUGACCUUACAAAUGCUGGAGAUCCAGCCCAGAAGCCUUGUUCAUGCUGCACAAGAACCCUACCACCAGGUCGACCAUUGUUUCCUCAGCCCCACUUUUGAAACAUGGCUACAUCAAAUGCUUACAAUCACAUUUCCAAGUCAAAUCUCUAGCUUGAGAUUGACUCGGAACACUGUCUAUUGUACACUGGGUGAUUUUGCUUGGAGACUUGCUAACUUACUUGUAGAGAAUUCUUAACUUCUUAACUUCUUAAGAGUUACGUUAUAAAGUAUGGAAACUUCAAUUUGAUUUGGUAGAAACAGAUUUAAAGUUAUACACAAUUAUAGCCAAGCCUGAUGGUGCAUUCCUAUAGCACCAGCACACAGGUUGAAAAGGAAAACCCAAGUUCUAGGGUAGCCUGGGCUAUACAGUAAAAGCCUGCUUCAGAAAAAUAAUAAAUAAGGAAAUAAGUUGUGGUGGUUUGAAUAUUCUUGGCUCAUGGGAAGUGGCACUAUUAGGAGGUGUGACCUUGUUUAAAUAAGUGUGUCAUUUUGUAGGUGGGCUUUGAGGUUUACUAGGGCUCAAGCUCUGCCCAGUGAGGAAGGAACUUCCUCCUGGCUGGCUGCAGAAGACAGUCUCCUUCCUCCUGGCUGCCUUCUGAUCAAAAUGUAGAGCUCUUCCUUAUAGCAUCGUUUCUGCUUGGAUGUUGUCAUGCUUCCCACGAUGAUGAUAAUGGACUGAAUCUCUGAACUGGAAUGAAACUGUGUGAAGAGAAUUCUGAGUGCUAGGAAGAACACUCUAUGAAAACAAGAAGAGUCUUGUGUCCUUGUUUUUUUUUCAAUUGUUCUUGGCGUGUAUCUGAGCUCCUCCCAGGUGCAGAGGAUAGAGGUGAGCUGAUUUCAGAAUACUCCUUGUUGCCUGCUGCUGUUUGUUAUGCAGUUAAAUGGUUGAGCUGGCCUUUGUAUGGAAAAGUACUUCUGCCUGUGUGUUGCUUAUCCCUGUGGUUGAAUACCUUACUCAUGUGAUUUUUUUCUUGACCGUCAGAGUAUAAAUUGCUUGAUUCUUUGAAUAAAACUGACGAUUGAA